GUGCCACAGCCGGGCUAAUACGUAGGUGACAAGCGUUGUCCGGAUUCAUUGGGCGUAAAGCGAGCGCAGGCGGUCCGGUAAGUCUGAUGUGAAAGCCCACGGCUCAACCGUGGAACGGCAUUGGAAACUGGCGGACUUGAAUGUAGCAGAGGAAAGUGGAAUUCCAUGUGUAGCGGUGGAAUGCGUAGAUAUAUGGAGGAACACCAGUGGCGAAAGCGACUUUCUGGGCUAUGAUUGACGCUGAGGCUCGAAAGCGUGGGGAGCGAACAGGAUUAGAUACCCUGGUAGUCCACGCCGUAAACGAUGAGUGCUAAGUGUUGGAGGGUUUCCGCCCUUCAGUGCUGGAGUUAACGCAUUAAGCACUCCGCCUGGGGAUUACGACCGCAAGGUUGAAACUCAAAAGAAUUGACGGGGACCCGCACAAGCGGUGGAGCAUGUGGUUUAAUUCGAAGCAACGCGAAGAACCUUACCAGCUCUUGACAUCUUCUGCCACCUUCAGAGAUGAAGGGUUCCCUUCGGGGACAGAAUGACAGGUGGUGCAUGGUUGUCGUCAGCUCGUGUCGUGAGAUGUUGGGUUAAGUCCCGUAACGAGCGCAACCCUUAUUGUUAGUUGCCAGCAUUGAGUUGGGCACUCUAGCAAGACUGCCGGUGAUAAACCGGAGGAAGGCGGGGACUGACGUCAAAUCAUCAUGCCCCUUAUGAGCUGGGCUACACACGUGCUACAAUGGAUGGUACAACGAGUGGCGAGACCGUGAGGUUUAGCUAAUCUCCCAAAGCCAUUCUCAGUUCGGAUUGCAGGCUGCAACUCGCCUGCAUGAAGUCGGAAUCGCUAGUAAUCGCGGAUCGGAAUGCCGCGGUGAAUUCGUUCCCGGGUCUUGCACG
This 882-nucleotide ribosomal RNA is filed under the name uncultured Alloiococcus sp. RNAcentral's name for it is "bacterial SSU rRNA". It matches the Rfam family "Bacterial small subunit ribosomal RNA", at positions 505 to 1387 of the family's 1533-position model. The record is from RNAcentral. Lineage: Bacteria; Bacillati; Bacillota; Bacilli; Lactobacillales; Carnobacteriaceae.